CUCGAUCAUUGGAUUAUAUCUAAUGACUAAAAUUAAUAUAUUUUAUAAUAAUUUAAAAAUAAAAUAAAAUAUAAAAAUUAAUAUAUUUUAUAAUAAUUUGAAAAUAAAAUAAAAUAAAAGUUAUACGGCUGUGAUUUAUACCCGUAAAAGUUGAAUAAAUGAUUUUAUUAAUAUGUGAUUGAAAUUAUAUUAAUAGGGAGUGAAAUUUUGAAAAAGAAAAAAAUUUAAAACUCGCUCUUUUAUAAAUAGUAUUGAUAUAUUUUUCAAAAAAUAAAAAAUAAAAAAGAUUAAAUUAAAAAUAGGGUUAAUUUCAUAUAGGCUCCUGCAAUUAUAGUGAAGGAUGAAUAUAUCCCUAUAAAGUUCAACUUUUAUAUAUUAUCGUUACAAAAGUUCUAAUGCUUUCACAUAUAUCCCUUUGGUUUAUUACCGUUAGAGAACCGUUAGAAAAACUGUUUAUAUUUUCAAUUUUGCCAUCACAAAUAUGUACCUCCAAAAAUCAUAACAGUACAAUAUAAGAGAGGCAAAAUUGUCAAAAACUAACUAAGGUUGAGUAUUUAACAUAUGGUUAAUUAAAAUUUUCUAUCAGAUUCUAAGGGUAUAGACAUAUUUGAAAACAUCAGGAUUUUUGCAGAAACAAUAUAUGAAAGUUAAAUUUUAUAUGGAUAUAUUUGCUAGUUACUAAGUUUGCAGAGGCCAGUAUGAAAUAAACCCUUUUAUAAAAAUAUAUAUUUUGAAUAUUGGUUUACGUUUAGUUGAAGAAUAAAAUAUGAAUACUUAUAUAUAUUUUUAAAUUAUUAAUAAAUAAAUUAUCUGAGGAGCGCUUCUUUCCAAGUGGGUGCCGCGUCGGCUGCCGCCCAAUUGGUGAGGAGGCUCCGACAAGUUGUUGUGUUUUUCGCCAGUUGGCUCAGAAGAGUUGAUGGGAUUAAUUAAACACCCCGUGACGCAAACUAAUUAGUAUUUGCUGCUGAGGUUGACUAAAUCAUUUUAAACGAACUAAGUCUCCAUCGAUCAUUGCCUUCUUACCAAAGCGAGAGCAACCUUAAUUGGCAAGAAAUGCCAGAAGGUUCUUUUCAGAUUUGUACGAAAUAUUCUGCAGAUAAUUUGAAAAUGAUCAUCAUUAUUUAAAGUCCGGCUAUUAUGUAAUUUUUAUUAUAUAUGAUAGGACUAUUAUACUUUCAUAAAUAUAGAUUUUUUUUUUUGUACUCAUAAAUUUUUGAUCACUAGCCAAAUGAUGUCAAAAAAUUAUAAAUUUUAGUUUCCAAAUGCUUUUAAUAGUGUAGAUUAAAUCUGAUGGAGCCGAUCGUCGAUUUGGAAGCCACAUCAUUGAAAACAACUUGAUAGCACGGAGGCUUCCGUGCUACCGAUAGUAUACCAGCCUAGCUGAGCUAAAAAUGGUAGCACGGAGGCUCCAUUAGACUUAAUCUACACUAUUGAAAAUAUAUGAAAACUAAAUUUCAUAAUUUUUCGGUAUUAUUUAUCUAUCAAACGAAUUAUCUAAAAAUGAAUGACUGAAAUUAAAAAUCUUAUAAAAAAUGAUGAUAAAAUACUUGAAUUUAAGAUCAGAGAUACUGAUCUUACUCUAAAUAGUGAAAAAAAAAUUUCUAUAAAAAAAUCAUCAGAUUUGAAUUGUUUUACAUCAUUAAAUUUACAAACGCGUCACAUCUAUCAUUAAAAUUGUCAAUUUUGAGACCGUUUGAUCACUAGCCAAAUGAUGUUGAAAAAUUAUGAAAUUUAGUUUUCAAAUAAUUUUAAUAGUGUAAAUCAAGUCUAACGGAGUCGAUAGUCGAUUUGAAAGCUGUAUCAUUAAAAACAACUUGGUAGCACGGAGACCUCCGUGCUACCGAUAGUAUAUCAGCCUAGCUCUCUCUCUCUCUCUCUCUCUCUCUCUCUCUCUCUCUCUCUCUAUAUAUAUAUAUAUAUAUAAUCCGGCUACUAUACAAUGAAUAGUACUAAACAUUUGGCCUUAUCAAAUUUUCUACCGUUAAAUCUACUCUUUUGAUUUCCACCUAUUAGAUCAUAUACUAUUCAACGAACCAUCUACUCAACUCUAUAGGACCACUAUCAUCUUAACCACAUAUCCUUUAAUCAAAGAGCCGGACACGUAGUAGCACCAAUGACUUGAUGCUAUCAAUAGUAUAGUAUCCUAGUUCUAUAUAUAUAUACAUAGUUUGACUGGAGUGUUUUUAAUAGUAUUAAAUAUUUGAUGCUAUCAAUUUUUUAUAACUAGAUCUACGUUGUUUUAUCAUUUUUUUUUGUUUGGAUCAUAUAUUUUUAUUCUAUCACCCACCCACUAAAUUCAAGUAGAGCUUGGAAAUUUUUUAAUAAUUUACUCAAUUUAUCUUCCACUUUUAUUUUUUUUUGAUAGAAAGUCAAUGGAUUUAAAACUAUAUAUUAUUAUCUUAUAUUUUUAUUUAUUUUACGGAAACCUUUUAGACUAACAUACAAUAGGAUGAAAAAAAAAAUAAAGUAGUUAACUUACUAUUAUUUUUUCAAUUAUUUCAUCUUCCGUAAUUAAUUUUCGCACCACCCAAGGCAAAGUCAGUUCCAACAUUUUGAGAAAAUUGGACUCGUAGGCAAAUUUAACUUACAAUAAAAACUAAAUAACAAAGUAAAUAUUUAAAGCCGAAAGCUACUUAAUUAAACUCCUUCACUUUCGGUAAAACAAAUAUACCUUACGUAUGAUAAAAUAGUAUAACUAAAAAUUCUAUUUAUUUUUUGUAAACACCAUACAUCAUGCAAAUUAUUCAAGUUCAAUUUGGUUAUGAUUUUUGCGGUCUAAGCAAAAGCCAAGAAAAAUAUAUUUUCAUAUGAUUUCGACCCUACUCCAUUUGGCCGAAUAGUAAUAGGCAAUUCCAAUACCAAAUAAUCUAGCGCAAGGGGAAAUGGCAUUAUAAUAGGUAUUGGUGAUUCCCAAUUCAAAGUCUAGUUAUUUUACAUUAUCAACUAAAUUUAUUUUUUUAAAAAAAUAAAUAAAGCGGAUAGCAUGCUAGUUACCUUCUCUUAAAAAAAAAAAAAAAACAAAAACAAUAAACAUUAAACGGAGUUAUCUAAUUAAGAGAAGUGCAAAAUAUAUUGAUGGUAACACAUGAUUAUUGUGCUAGCAUUUUUUUGAAUGAUUUUAGCUUUAUUUACUAGCUAUAUAUUUCAGUAAUGCAUGACCGUUAAAAAAGCAUAUAUACGUAGAAAAUGUUUUCUUGCAUAAAUUAUCUUCUAUUUCUAAAAUACCAAAGCUCUUUCUAAACAUUCCUUACUGAUUUGGCUUAACUAAUUUUGACUUUUUGCCUCUAGCUAAAAUGCCUUUAAAUAUCUAAAAAAUUAAGUAAAUGUGAUUACUCUUAGAAUAUAUACACUAAAGUGGACCUAACCAUUUAAUGCAAUUGUUUAACAUUCCAACUCUAUACGGGUCGGCCGAGGAAACAGUAGACCAUUUGUUCACCAGGUGUGUUUUUAGCAAGUUCAUCUUAGUGUCGGGUGUUGAUGGAGUUCAGACCCUAGACAUGGAGGAUGACGUUACCCGGGCUUGGGACAGGUGGAGGAUUAGGAAGAACCGAGGGAAGAAAAGGGCUUGCCUUACUAAUUUAGCCGGUUGCUGGUGGUGCAUUUGGAAGGCCAGAAACGACAUGAUCUUUAGGGAUAUACAACCAAACCCUGAGAGGGUUGUUAUCACUCUCCAGCAGUUACUGAAGGAGUGGGAUUCGGCUCUAUCUACUUGAAUUUUAAUUUCUUUUUCUAUUUUUAUCUUUAUUUCUAUUUUAGUUUUUAUUUUUAUUUGUAUUUUGUUCCGGGGCCCUAGUUGCCCCACCCUUGUAGCCUAGUUCAUUUUUCCAAUGAAUGAAGCGGGUAGCGUGCUACCUUUUUCUCAAAAAAAAAAAACAUUCCAACUCUAUACCAUUCUCAUAUCUUUAGAUAUAUAUGAAAGGAAAAAAGAAGACAUGUUAUGAGAGCAAUUCAAAGAAGGAACCACCUAAAAUUUGGUAAGGUUUGAAAACAAGAUGGGAUUCAACUCAGAAGAAGAAACCUUCACCUGCUGCAACUAAUCAAUUUAGUAUCUUCUUGAGGAAACUUGUAUAAAUGGAUCAUAAUCUAUGGAAAACUUGGAACUCUAUUCAAUUCGAUCUAUGGGUUCAUUUAUGACUCCAUAGCUUUUCCUAUUAAUUUCCAAGUCAUGGAUAAGAAGUUUCCACCUUCGUAGUUAAUAAAUAUCCAUUCAAUAUUCAUAUUCCUUUUCUAGAAGAUAGAUACAUAACUACAGAUAUGUGCAUGGUCUUCGUUGUAGAUAUUUAGUCACGGGGUAAAAUUAAAUUCGUGUCCAAGUGUUGAUACUUAGUGAUAAACAGCUAACCCGUGAAAGAUUUUGAUAGUGAUAAGCUUUUUGACUUUUGAUUUUGUAGAAAUUUGCUGUAUAGUUGACUUUGAGGGGAUGCUUCGAUCGUUCUUAUGAGGAGAACUGGAUUUUGAUCCGUGUGAAAAGAAUAAAAAAUGCACUGAUACUUCUUGUUGGGAUUAGUUGAACCUUCGAUGAGAAAAUUAAGUUCAAGAAUGUUACUAUCUUAAUAAAAUUCAAGCUUUUGAUUUUAAUUCAAGUUCACAAGUCUAGCUUCAAUUUUUAAAGAGUCCUCGAAUUGCACUCCGAUUUGUCAAUGGUGUUUUUUUUUUUUUUUUCAGGGAAAAGCCUGUAGGCACAUCCUUCACCCGUUUAGCAGAGAUUGAUAGAGCAGUCGAUCAAUAGUACAAGAGGAAUCUGCCCCUAUUUAGAUGCAUAAAUAUAUUAUUCAGUAUUUUUUUUUUUAUUUACUCAAAUAGUUUGUAGCAUUCGCAUGUUCAAAUUUCAGGAUAGGCAUAAUAUAUUUUGCGGAAAAAACUUCAAUGAAGAGUUCCUUAAUGACGUGUCACUUUUAUCUCUAUCCAAAAGUUUCUUUCCUCUAGGCUUUAUUUUUUUUUUUUUAGUUUUAAUAUUAAAAAACACUCAAUGAACUAUUAGGAGUUGGCAAAACCGGCAUGUUAUAGCGGAUCGGUGGUUUCCCAACGAACCCUCCUGGGAGAGCUUCAUACAGAAGUUCUAUCCAUAUUUCACCUUCUAUUUAUUUUCUUGAAAUAAAAUAAAUCAUCUACUAAGCUAAAUACACUAUUAUACCAAAUCGCGGCGAUUAAGAUGUUUCAAGGAAUUAAAAUUAAAUAAACUCCCAGCUUACGGUCAUCCAAAAAAAUUCUCAACCAUGCAGAUUAUUACUAGAUAACUUAUUUCGAUACCAAUAUGAAUCUAUGAGAAUCACUCAACUAAGCCCCCCACAUAAAGCGAUCUGAUAUUGAUCACAAGAAUAGGCCCAGUUUAAAAUUGCAUUUAAAAAAAAAAAACAUUCAAUUUUAUACUUUGAAGGCUCAAAAAAAAAAAAAAAGAAAAAGAAAAAGAAAAAGAAAAAGAAAAAGUGGUGGGCAUCUCACCCCACAAUAGGUCCAUGGGCUAAGCCACAAAUGGGUCUAAGAAUGGGCUAAUAAACUCUCGAGUAAGCCCAAAAGAGGCCCAUAAAAAAGGCCCGGCCCAAUCUCCUCCAGCCACCACACGCGGCAACCGAAGACGCCGCUCAUCGUACACGUGGCGCACCGCACGUGUCACACUCGCGUAGUAAACAGCACAUUGCUCGCAUAAUAUAUAAAAAAUAAAAUAUUCUCGGGUGCUUAUAUCAUCAAGCAUUGUGAGAUCAACUGGACGUAAGCUGAACCAAAAACGUUUCUUUGCGACCAUGUCUUCGCUUAUACCGUGGGUGGGGGGCCGUGGUGUGUUCGACCCGUUCACAACUGAUCUUUGGGACCCGUUUGGGGCCACCACCAACUUGUUAUGGGACGUCGGCCGCAGCGGCGGCGGCGUCGGCGACGAUCCCGCCGUCCUCGCCUGCGCCAACGUCGACUGGCGCGAGACCGACCGGGCCCACAUCUUCGUCGCUGAGCUACCCGGUUUGCGGCCCUGCUCUCUUUCGCUAGCAGAAAGAUAUAAAUUCAUUAUAUUUGGUCACUAGUCACUCAUUAAGUUAUUUUUGAAUAAAGUUGAAAGUUUAUUACUGUUGAUAUUUGUAACUAAGAUAUAAAAGAAUAAGAAUUGAAAUUUUACAAAGAGAUCACACACACACACGUGAGCAUUACGUUAAAUUGGAAAUUGGCGGUGGAACAGGGGUGAGGAAGGAGGACGUGAAAGUGGAGGUGGAGGACGGGAACGUGCUGAAGAUCAGCGGGGAGCGCGUCGAGAAGGAGGAGCAGAAGGGCGAUACGUGGCACCGCAUGGAGCGGCGGAGGGGCGCCUUCCUCCGGCGGUUCAGGCUCCCCGACGACGCAAAUCUCGACGAUGUCAACUGCACCCUCAAGGAUGGCGUGCUCACCGCCGUCGUCCCCAAGAAGGACACCGCCCAGGCCCGCAAUGUCCGGGCCAUCAAAAUUUCCGAAGGCGGGAUAAUGCAGCAGCAGCAACAGCAGGAGCAGCAGCAGCAGCAGCAGCAGUAGGAGUGGGAUUAAUGUGAUGCAGAAACAUAUGUACAUGUGUGCGCUAUAUAUAUACAUAUAUAUAGUAGUUGUAUAUGGAUCUGUAAUAGAAUUUUGUUAACUUCAGAGAGUGCCUGGUUCAGGAGAUGGAGGAGUUUGCAUGUGUAUAUGUUAGAUUAUGGGGUAUUGUAUGCAUGAAGGGAGAGAAUGGUAUGAGCGUCCUGUUUUGUAAGUUGUUAUCUUUUGUCUUAAUAAAGAACUAGCAAAAUAAUGUUAAAAAAUGCGUAGGAAAAUUGGGUACAAAUAGUUAAUUGAUGUUUCGGUACAAAUGAACAACUCGAUGAGUAACACACCGAAGCUAAUGUAAACUUAAAUUAAAGAGGGUAAUACCCCUACCCCUGUUUAAUCGGAAAAAACGUAAAAAAAAAAAGGGUAAAAAAAAGGUAAACUUAAAUUGCAGAAAUUAAGAGUCGGAUGAAAUUUGUAUUUAACAAAUUUUAGUUUAGGAACCAUGAUACAACCGUUUGUCUUUAAAUAAAAAAUAUUAAUUUUUAAUAUUUUCAACAUUAUUACUAUAAUUUUAACUAUCCGACCCGUUGUUAAGUUACAUUUGGUUGCUGGAGCAUAACUAGACAAAGAGCAAGUCGAAGAGAAGCGUUCUCCAAUUAUUUAGAAUCUGCAUUUGGAUUUAAAGCUGCUUCUUUGCAUGACACAAUUAUUCAUUUACAAAAGCCGGGCUAAGAGACUUCGUCAAUAAACAAAAUACUCCAAAAUUAAUAAAAGAAAAUUAAAUGAAAGAAGCGUAUACACUAUAUAAUAAUUACAGUAAAAGCUCCAGGGAAAUCUCUUAGUUAUACUUAUUAUCCCUGGAUGCUUGCACUAUUCCGAACCUUGGACUUCUCAGUAAGAAACAUUUCAAUCUUCAGCAGUGCCUGGAAAAACACAAAAAGGAAGAGUUCACACUGGAACACAUACAUCCAAGGAAUUCGAAAUAGCUAGUGUUCAUAAGGUUUGAACAUCUUAAAGGAACUGAAUUUUCCGGUAAAGAACGUGAAAAUAAGAUCAGAAUGAUAUACCUCGAUGGCAAUAGUGGUCGGUGAGAGCGCAGAGACGUCCUCAUGACCCUGUUUCGCUGCAAUAUCUGCAUCGAUAGAGGACAGUUUUGUCAAUGCAUCAAGCAGUCUGAAGAAAGGCAAAGGGGUUAAUAUAAAGAGAGAUUUGAACUGCAGAUCCAAACGGCCUUCGUUGUAUGUGAUACACUUGUUCGCAAGCUUUUCUAAGUUUUCAGCACAAGCUUUAAACAAAAAAGAAAUAAGCGAAAAUAAAAGAAAAGCAUGCAUUGAGAUUACCAUCAGCACAAUAUUGGACUUAAAAUAAAAGGAUCCGAGGUGAAGACUAGUAGAGAAAGGUUCCUGAACGAUAGGACAUUUUAAACUCGAUCUCCCACUUUUAUCUCUUUUAUUGGCAUCCCUAACUUUUGUUCAUUUCGGUUUGACUUACUUCCGUUAGUUGAAUCGUGGAUUCUGGUAAAGUUAACGGCUCGGUUAACCAAAUCCCAGAUUAACUGCUGAAAAUAGCUAAAUUUGGAAAGGAGCAAAAGUUGAGCGUUAUGAUCUUUGUUGAGCAGGUCUCUGUACAAUUGUAACUAAAAGUAACGACGAUGGCAUUCAAGGCCCACUGAAACAUACCUUCAAGGGAAACCCUUGCAUCGGCAUUGGCAUAGGCGUCACCCCUUUGUUCUGCAAGCGCAGUGAGCCUUGCAAAAGCCUGAAACAGAGUGAUGACAUGUUACAUAUUUUUGUGAAACUACUAAUGACAUGCAGAGCAACAGUUCUUAUGAGCGAUCAGCUAGGAAGAGAGGAUAACUUUUAAUCAGCAAUAGCAUAGACAAGUAGGUAAAGGGAAAAAUCGCAAGCAAAAUUGCUCAGUAUGUUGACACUAUUGGCUGUUAUGAUCAUAUAUUAGUGCUUGCAAGUCACAUUGGUGAUGUAUGAUACCAAGUGGUCCGAUAUUUGUAAAAGAGGAAGUUGAGAGAGAGUUUUGAGAGGGAAGUAGUGACUUACCUUUGUGUAAGGGUCACCAGAUUCUUCAUGCAAAAGAGGACGGGAAGCAGUCCCCACCGCAGCAAUCCGCCUUGCCAGAGCUUCUAAAGGGACAUCUAACCAGACCGUAAUUCCCUGUUUCAUAUACCUCCUAAUAAUUCAAAAUACUAGAGUUAGGUUAUAUACUCUGUAAAACAAAAACCAAAUAAAAUUAUACUUUUAUCAAUUCCUAACCAGUUGAUUGGUCGAAUCACGGCGCCGCCUCCAGUUGCAACAACUAACCGGCGCAUUGUUGAUAGCUCCCUCAGCACUUCGCUCUUGGGACAUGAAAAAUGAAAGAUAGAAAAUUAGAAAGGAAAAGAAAUUGCUUUCUUACUGAAGAAAGCAACCUCAUGAAGGAAAAGAAAUUGCUCAUAAAACAACUGGGGAGUUUAUUAUGAAAGGCCACAAGGUAAAAAAUUAA
Molecule: long non-coding RNA, 8976 nt
Filed under: Ananas comosus (pineapple)
Lineage: Eukaryota; Viridiplantae; Streptophyta; Magnoliopsida; Poales; Bromeliaceae
Description: long non-coding RNA (ACOM_LNC010990)
Source: RNAcentral